GCAAAUUGAGACACGUUCAUUAUUACAAGUAAAACACCAGUGGACAGCCUUUAAUAGUUCAAUUUCCAACGCAGCCAAUCUAGAACGGUGUAAUUCAAAAAGUGGUUUGAGAAGUAGUCCUACCUCUCCGAACGCGCCUUUACCUAUGACAGUCAACUGUUCGAAGUCAUCAAUCCCAACUUUGCGUCUUUGGAGCCUCAUGAACUCAGUUUCUCUCCUUGCCAGGUUCUUCAUCAAUUCCUCCUGGUCCUCAGUUGAUACCUGAGCCUCUUGCGCUCUGCGUUGGAGAGUCCGCCGUCUGGAAACAGAGGGAAUGCAAAACCAUGCUUACAACUUCUAAGAAAGAAACGUAAACUGGAACCCCGCCAGAGAAAUAACUAAUAGCUGUUAAUUAGUCUGUUUGUCUAUUGAAUUAAGCUGCUGGCCAUAUAUAUGUUGGCGCAGCGCCACUUUUAUUUAGUUCGCGUUGACCUCCCAUCGAAUUCGUUCUAAAUAAAUCAAAGCUAAUUCCGGUAACAAAACAUAGAAGGCCGAAUUCCAAAUUUUCCAAUCGAAUCAAAACAAAGAGAAAACAAAAUGAAAGAUCCGAGAUACAUUGAUCGGAAGGAACAAAGUGACGGACCUCUCUUUACGAUCCUGCAAUCCUUGCAAAUAAUUCUUGUAAUGAUUCUCGAUGAACUGCUUGGCGGCAGCAGCUUUCUGCCUGGUGACCGGCGAGGAAACAGACACAUCCGGACCAGAGUCAAGACCACUCCGCUCCUGGCGUAAGUUCAAAGCCCCUAAUCUCACCGUACCAUCACCACCGCCGUCCAUUGCUCGGACGAAUCAAGGUAGCAGGAAAGAUCAAAGAUCGAAUAUGAGCACAGACGAGUGACGACUAGCAAAAGGAAUCAGAAGAACUCCAUCUGGAUUGAUUGAGGAGUAAGCUAUUUACAGCUCACAGCAAGGAACGAGGUGAGAUCUAAGCGGCGGUGUUGUCAGUGUUGUAGAAAAUGACUGAGAGAGAGAGAAGUUGAAGAGGUGAAGAAUUCUAAAGAAAUGAAGCGAAAUGAACUGGCGAGAUUUGUGCGAAAAUAUUGCAAAUUGAGACACGUUCAUUAUUACAAGUAAAACACCAGUGGACAGCCUUUAAUAGUUCAAUUUCCAACGCAGCCAAUCUAGAACGGUGUAAUUCAAAAAGUGGUUUGAGAAGUAGUCCUACCUCUCCGAACGCGCCUUUACCUAUGACAGUCAACUGUUCGAAGUCAUCAAUCCCAACUUUGCGUCUUUGGAGCCUCAUGAACUCAGUUUCUCUCCUUGCCAGGUUCUUCAUCAAUUCCUCCUGGUCCUCAGUUGAUACCUGAGCCUCUUGCGCUCUGCGUUGGAGAGUCCGCCGUCUGGAAACAGAGGGAAUGCAAAACCAUGCUUACAACUUCUAAGAAAGAAACGUAAACUGGAACCCCGCCAGAGAAAUAACUAAUAGCUGUUAAUUAGUCUGUUUGUCUAUUGAAUUAAGCUGCUGGCCAUAUAUAUGUUGGCGCAGCGCCACUUUUAUUUAGUUCGCGUUGACCUCCCAUCGAAUUCGUUCUAAAUAAAUCAAAGCUAAUUCCGGUAACAAAACAUAGAAGGCCGAAUUCCAAAUUUUCCAAUCGAAUCAAAACAAAGAGAAAACAAAAUGAAAGAUCCGAG
This 1668-nucleotide long non-coding RNA is filed under the name Linum usitatissimum (flax). RNAcentral's name for it is "long non-coding RNA (LUSI_LNC006233)". The record is from RNAcentral. Lineage: Eukaryota; Viridiplantae; Streptophyta; Magnoliopsida; Malpighiales; Linaceae.